Molecule: ribosomal RNA, 481 nt
Filed under: uncultured bacterium
Lineage: Bacteria
Description: partial 16S ribosomal RNA
Rfam family: Bacterial small subunit ribosomal RNA
Source: RNAcentral
GACGAACGUUGGCGGCGUGCUUAAUACAUGCAAGUCAACUGAAGCAGUGGUAGCAAUAUCGCUGUGGAGGUGGCGCACGGGUGAGUAACACGUAGGUAAUCUGCCUUCAGGUCUGGCAUAACUCCGGGAAACCGGGGCUAAUAGCAGAUGAUGCAGCGGCUCGACAUCGAGACAGUUGUUAAAGCUAUGGCGCCUGAAGAUGAGCCUGCGUCUGAUUAGCUAGUUGGCGGGGUAACGGCCCACCAAGGCAACGAUCAGUAGCUGGUCUGAGAGGAUGAUCAGCCACACUGGAACUGAGACACGGUCCAGACUCCUACGGGAGGCAGCAGUAAGGAAUAUUGCUCAAUGGGAGAAAUCCUGAAGCAGCAACGCCGCGUGAGGGACGAAGGGCGUUGGCUUGUAAACCUCUGUAGUGAGAGAAAAAAAUCCCAAUCUUUGGGACAUGAUGGUAUCUCAAAAGUAAGCCCCGGCUAACUACGUG